RNAcentral lists this ribosomal RNA (253 nucleotides) under uncultured bacterium. RNAcentral's name for it is "partial 16S ribosomal RNA". It matches the Rfam family "Bacterial small subunit ribosomal RNA", at positions 524 to 776 of the family's 1533-position model. The record is from RNAcentral.
UACGAAGGGGGCUAGCGUUGUUCGGAAUUACUGGGCGUAAAGCGCACGUAGGUGGAUUGUUAAGUGAGGGGUGAAAUCCCAGGGCUCAACCCUGGAACUGCCUUUCAUACUGGCAAUCUAGAGUUCGAGAGAGGUGAGUGGAAUUCCGAGUGUAGAGGUGAAAUUCGUAGAUAUUCGGAGGAACACCAGUGGCGAAGGCGGCUCACUGGCUCGAUACUGACGCUGAGGUGCGAAAGCGUGGGGAGCAAACAGG